This 497-nucleotide ribosomal RNA is filed under the name uncultured bacterium. RNAcentral's name for it is "partial 16S ribosomal RNA". It matches the Rfam family "Bacterial small subunit ribosomal RNA", at positions 28 to 507 of the family's 1533-position model. The record is from RNAcentral.
GAUGAACGCUGGCGGCGUGCCUAAUACAUGCAAGUCGAGCGAACGGACGAGAAGCUUGCUUCUCUGAUGUUAGCGGCGGACGGGUGAGUAACACGUGGAUAACCUACCUAUAAGACUGGGAUAACUUCGGGAAACCGGAGCUAAUACCGGAUGAUAUUUUGAACCGCAUGGUUCAAAAGUGAAAGACGGUCUUGCUGUCACUUAUAGAUGGAUCCGCGCUGCAUUAGCUAGUUGGUAAGGUAACGGCUUACCAAGGCAACGAUGCAUAGCCGACCUGAAAGGGUGAUCGGCCACUCUGGAACUGAGACACGGACCAGACUCCUACGGGAGGCAGCAGUAGGGAAUCUUCCGCAAUGGGCGAAAGCCUGACGGAGCAACGCCGCGUGAGUGAUGAAGGUCUUCGGAUCGUAAAACUCUGUUAUUAGGGAAGAACAUAUGUGUAAGUAACUGUGCACAUCUUGACGGUACCUAAUCAGAAAGCCACGGCUAACUACGUG